AUGCCAGAGCCAGCAGCAGCGGCUGCUGCUGCAAGUGAGCAUUUACUUUCUACCCAUCUCGAAGCUCUACUGAUAUGGAACUGUGCUGGCAUGUUGGGUGGGGCUCUCCGUCUGCCUGCGCCCCUCAAGAGACUGCACAUUAUUGGCAACAGUGGGUUGACAUCGCUGGAGUGUCUGCCGGGAGAGCACCCCCCAUCGCUGGAAAACCUUGUUCUUCAAAGAUGCACUGCCCUCGCAUCCCUGCCGAAUGAGCCACAACUAUACAGUUCUGUCUCGUAUCUUCAAAUUACACAUUGCCCUGCUAUAAAGAAGCUCCCUAGAUGCCUACAGCAGCAACUGGGCAACAUCAAACGCAAACGACUAGAUGCCCAGCAUGAAGUUAUGGCACUUAAACCGAAGACAUGGAAGGAGAUACCAAGGCUAGUCUGUGAGUGGAGGAAGGCCGCUCGAGAAGGCAGGGAGCGACAACAAUCCAUCAUGCAGGAGUAA
This 489-nucleotide ribosomal RNA is filed under the name Triticum aestivum (bread wheat). Its description in RNAcentral is "partial small subunit ribosomal RNA". Lineage: Eukaryota; Viridiplantae; Streptophyta; Magnoliopsida; Poales; Poaceae. The record is from RNAcentral.